RNAcentral lists this ribosomal RNA (270 nucleotides) under uncultured archaeon. RNAcentral describes it as "partial 16S ribosomal RNA". It matches the Rfam family "Archaeal small subunit ribosomal RNA", at positions 477 to 747 of the family's 1478-position model. The record is from RNAcentral.
AAGCACCUCAAGUGGUCAGGAUGAUUAUUGGGCCUAAAGCAUCCGUAGCCUGCUUUGUUAGUUUUCGGUUAAAUCCAUACGCUCAACGUAUGGGCUGCCGGGAAUACUGCAAAGCUAGGGAGUGGGAGAGGUAGACGGUACUCGGUAGGAAGGGGUAAAAUCCUUUGAUCUAUUGAUGACCACCUGUGGCGAAGGCGGUCUACCAGAACACGUCCGACGGUGAGGGAUGAAAGCUGGGGGAGCAAACCGGAUUAGAUACCCGAGUAGUCC